This 240-nucleotide ribosomal RNA is filed under the name uncultured bacterium. Its description in RNAcentral is "partial 16S ribosomal RNA". It matches the Rfam family "Bacterial small subunit ribosomal RNA", at positions 15 to 244 of the family's 1533-position model. The record is from RNAcentral.
GAUCAUGGCUCAGGAUGAACGCUAGCUACAGGCUUAACACAUGCAAGUCGAGGGGAAACGACAUCGAAAGCUUGCUUUUGAUGGGCGUCGACCGGCGCACGGGUGAGUAACGCGUAUCCAACCUGCCCACCACUUGGGGAUAACCUUGCGAAAGUAAGACUAAUGCCCAAUGACAUCCCACGAAGGCAUCCGAAUGGGGUUAAAGAUUUAUCGGUGAUGGAUGGGGAUGCGUCUGAUUAG